Long non-coding RNA from Eptatretus burgeri (inshore hagfish), 1998 nucleotides. The record is from Ensembl. Lineage: Eukaryota; Metazoa; Chordata; Myxini; Myxiniformes; Myxinidae.
CUUGAAAGCCUCAAGAUCCUUUGCCAAGAAGACCGGCUACUUGUAUCCCAUUGUGCACCUUUAUUGUCUGGACGGUACGGAUUUAGUGGUUACUGUGCUAUCUGGUAGUUUUCCCCACUCUUCCACCACUCCAUGGCCGCAAAAGUAUGUCCUGACAUCCGGACGAGUACGGUGAGUUUGGAGUAGAUGUCCACAUCAUCAUUGAGCCCACUCUUCCACCACUCCAUGGCUGCAAAAGUAUGUCCUGACAUCCGGACGAGUACGGUGAGUUUGGAGUAGGUGUCCACAUCAUCAUUGAGGUGGUGGGGGCUUCAUUUACCAUGUACCUUUAACCUGUUUAAUAUCAACUUACAAACAUCAACAGCGGGUGUACAGUGAUUCAGAGUGAGAUUUCUUCCUGAGGUUGUCGUGAGAGCAAAAUGAAGAAUUCGUCCAUUGCUUACAUCAUUGCCGAUGUGGCCGUGCUGCUGUUGCAGCUCACUGGUAGGUUUUUGGAACGUAUUUGGAAGUUGGCUAAGGUACCGGCACACAAUGGCCUUUUUCGAAAUCCAACACCCGGAUCUUCGAUGUGCACCAGCAAAUGCGAGCAAACAGGGAACCAAAUUGUGUCCAAAGGACGGCGUACUCGUUGAUACAGCACCCUGGAUGACACAGUUUAUCGUUGGGUCGGGAAUCAAACCCAGAUUAGACAGCUCAAUGUGAACAUGCUACCGAUCGGAGCUGUCCUGCCAGAUAAGAUCAAGAGUGAAACAAAGACACAGGUGUGCUUCGUCAUACGCGGACUGGAGGUGAUUAUCUGGGUGCGCCCACCUACCUGGCCUACCUGGACCACCCGAAUUGCAGAAAUGUAUAAUCGGCACAUUGGUGGAUCUAACUGCGGGGGUAAAAUUAGUAUCGGCUACUUACAGGUGCAUUUCAACCUGAGAGCUACACCUGCAGUCGUGACCGUGCCAGUAAGACUAAACCAUGCAGUCGUACCUGUGAUGCAGGAGAUGCGUGAGAAUGACCCAUCAAGCCGUGGAUCCCAGUCUCUCCUUUUGGAGCGCCUGUGGAAUCGCUGGCCUGGUACAACUGCGACACCUUGUCCAGCACGAUCUCCCACCCGUUCGUCGGUGAGCAUUCCCUCGUCGUUGCCGUCGCGAGUGAGUGGCGUCGCGAUCGCAAGCGACCGAAUUGGUCGUGCUCCCGCAGAGGCUCAGGCAGGUCUUGAGCCUCGUCACGCAAGCUCCGUGCGGUCUCCGUUCGCAGCUCCAGUCUUCGUUUCGUCCCUCUCUUCUCGGUUCCUCGUCGAUCCGGCUCUCGCUGGGUCUCUCUUCCAUGAAAAGCGCGAGGAGACGCCCGAUGGCGGAGCGGGUCCAAGCAUCGACGCCUCGUGCAAUCUGGAGGAAGAAGGUCUGGGAUAUCCAGGUGAAAUAAACUGCCCAGAGAUGCCACCGAGGAAGAGGUACAGAGACUCAGCUGCGCGAAGCGUGCUUCCAUCACCAUGUCAGAAUAGUCUGGGGAAGAGUCCUGGAGAGAAGAUGAAACAUAAUUUAUUUCCUCAAACGGAAUUUAGUUUUUUUGCAAAGGGAAAAUUACUACCUCGACAAUUUGCAGCGUCUUUACAGCCUCCUGUAUGUUGUUGUCAAUUUGUACUUUGCAGCAGCGUUGUGUCUAUCCAGUUAGGCAUAGCUCCUUCAUGAGACCAUCAUCCAUUGAAAACAUUCAAAAUGACUGCUACAUGGUACUGGAGUCCGUUUAUUACUGGGUCAGGAGAUGAACCCAGAUCAAACAUAAAAUCGCUAUCUCCCCAGCAGCCCGUUAAAUAAUCGUUAUUAAUCUAAAUUCAAUCAAGGUAUCAAAAAUAAACGAUGCUAACUUCACAUCAUGAUAAAUCGAAUUGGCUGUGUUGUUCAUAUUAACGUUCAACGUGGGAACAGCUAUAAGAAUAUGAAAAUCAAUGUUUGGUUUCAAUUUCAGUUUAUACAUUCCACUACCACCCCAUAAUAUUUGGGGGGG